RNAcentral lists this ribosomal RNA (551 nucleotides) under uncultured bacterium. RNAcentral's name for it is "bacterial SSU rRNA". It matches the Rfam family "Bacterial small subunit ribosomal RNA", at positions 355 to 896 of the family's 1533-position model. The record is from RNAcentral.
UAGGGAAUCUUCGGCAAUGGACGGAANNNUGGACCGAGCAACGCCGCGUGAGUNAAGAAGGUUUUCGGAUCGUAAAGCUCUGUUGUAAGAGAAGAACGAGUGUGAGAGUGGAAAGUUCACACUGUGACGGUAUCUUACCAGAAAGGGACGGCUAACUACGUGCCAGCAGCCGCGGUAAUACGUAGGUCCCGAGCGUUGUCCGGAUUUAUUGGGCGUAAAGCGAGCGCAGGCGGUUAGAUAAGUCUGAAGUUAAAGGCUGUGGCUUAACCAUAGUACGCUUUGGAAACUGUUUAACUUGAGUGCAAGAGGGGAGAGUGGAAUUCCAUGUGUAGCGGUGAAAUGCGUAGAUAUAUGGAGGAACACCGGUGGCGAAAGCGGCUCUCUGGCUUGUAACUGACGCUGAGGCUCGAAAGCGUGGGGAGCAAACAGGAUUAGAUACCCUGGUAGUCCACGCCGUAAACGAUGAGUGCUAGGUGUUAGACCCUUUCCGGGGUUUAGUGCCGCAGCUAACGCAUUAAGCACUCCGCCUGGGGAGUACGACCGCAAGGUUG